Molecule: long non-coding RNA, 417 nt
Filed under: Cyanistes caeruleus (blue tit)
Lineage: Eukaryota; Metazoa; Chordata; Aves; Passeriformes; Paridae
Description: lncRNA (ENSCCEG00000019346.1)
Source: RNAcentral
GAUUAUUUUAAAAUGUAGCAAACAACAUUAUAUAUAAUUAUUUUACAACAGCAAAGAUUUUAUUUGCUAUUUUAAAUGUUUUCCCUGUUUUUUACUUUAAGAGAAGAAGAAUAUAAAUGUUCUAGAAGAAUAUAUGCUGAGGAUAGCUUUCAGCUGCUGCGCUCUUAACUUAAGCCAAGUGCCUUGGAAGUGCAGUGAUUGCUCAGGAGCAACAAGGGACCUGCAGCACCUCCUCUGGGUACAGCAGAGGCAACUUCACCUGGUGUACUGGGAAUAGUUGGGUGGCUUUGACUUUCCCCCUCCAGAAUAUGUAGCAAGGGAGACAGAACAUCCAUAAAAACAACAUUUUACCAACACAUAGUAUAAAUGGUCUGCUAUUCUAAGGACAAAGAGCAAUAAAACAAAAAUGGGAUAUCA